AAGAGAGAUGAUGAUGUCUACUCAACUGGUUGUCCUGAAAUAUGAGGUUCUCAGAGGAAUUGAAAUAAUGAGGCCGGGGAGCUUAUAACAAACCUAUGAUCUCAGAACUACUUCCAUCCAGUGCUGGAAGAGUGUGUAGUAUCUCUGCAUGCGGAGCUAUAGGGGACUGUUUUGACAGCUUGCCAAGCCAUGGAUCGUGCUUAGAAAAAUACAUAAAGAAUAAAAUGCAUUAGAGAGAACAGGAAAUCACCCAUAAAUGGCAUUAUCUACCAACAAGUCAUUAACCACCUCACCUCUCCUGGAGGGAACCAGAUAAGAUACCUCAUAAAGAAGAUAGGAUUACAAGCAAGGGCAAAUUAAGUUGAAUUUAGCUACUCUGAAUAUAAAAUACAGCAUUCUAAAUUACAAAGAUAUGACUGUUGUUAAGAUAGGUUAUUGUCACUCUUGCCACUCUGUAAUGCAGAUGUUAGCUGCUCCUAUGUAUCCCUACUUGCCACCUCUGUUUUGCCCAACCUUGACUCGAACACAGAAAAGCCUCUCCAAAUUUCCUCAAAAGAAUGCACUAAAAUGCCCUAAAGAAAGAAUGAGAAAUGUCAGUUUCACUGAUGAUUACUCUGUUGGUUAGUUUUAGGGCAGAAGCUGAGAAAAGGGAGUUAACAGAGCACAGACAAUGACCAACUUGAUCAUUAAGGGAGCACAUCUCUUUCCUUAAGUCUUCUAACUGCCAAGCUGCCGUGGAGCUUCCUACUUUCGAUCCUCUCUUCCCUUUGCAUCCACCUUGUUAAUGCCUUCCCUUUCCCUCUGUGACCCAUACAAGUUUCCUUUCUUGUAUUAUACCUUGUGGUUAAGGGACUGUCUUUUACUACCUGGACAUGACCAUUGGGUCUCACUCUCCAUCCCAAGACUUAUUGAAUUUUUUUCUAAAAAAAAGUGCUCUCCCCAAGAGAAAUUCUGGCAAAUAAACUUUUAUUUAUCUUAUUAAUCUCUUUUGGAGAUGGAGUAUAUGCAUUGAUUUGUUGUAGCUAAGCUAAAAGAGAAAUUUACGGUUUCUAAAAGAGAGUUUGGUUUCUGAUUUGAACAUCCCCACUAGUCCCCCUCCUUCUGCUUCCCCAUCAGUGAAAUUUCAGAAUGGGAUGGAAAAAUAACCACUAAGCAAAGCCUGCUCAAGCUUCUUUUCACCAGGGAAGCUGGUGUCUGCUUGAGGAUCUCUCCUCUUGAAUAGACCAAGAACUCUGGGAAAUCUAAGGCUAAGAUGUCAGUCCGAUUUCUGUACUCAGUUGUGGAGGGCCAGAAAAUCAGUGGGCUAUGGCCAUAGCUUCUCCCGGAUACAAAGGUAGUACUGGUCCCC
This 1348-nucleotide long non-coding RNA is filed under the name Homo sapiens (human). RNAcentral's name for it is "HSALNT0203818". The record is from RNAcentral. Lineage: Eukaryota; Metazoa; Chordata; Mammalia; Primates; Hominidae.